AUACAUGCAAGUAGAACGCUGAAGAGAGGAGCUUGCUCUUCUUGGAUGAGUUGCGAACGGGUGAGUAACGCGUAGGUAACCUGCCUUGUAGCGGGGGAUAACUAUUGGAAACGAUAGCUAAUACCGCAUAACAAUGGAUGACACAUGUCAUUUAUUUGAAAGGGGCAAUUGUUCCACUACAAGAUGGACCUGCGUUGUAUUAGCUAGUAGGUGAGGUAAUGGCUCACCUAGGCGACGAUACAUAGCCGACCUGAGAGGGUGAUCGGCCACACUGGGACUGAGACACGGCCCAGACUCCUACGGGAGGCAGCAGUAGGGAAUCUUCGGCAAUGGGGGCAACCCUGACCGAGCAACGCCGCGUGAGUGAAGAAGGUUUUCGGAUCGUAAAGCUCUGUUGUAAGUCAAGAACGGGUGUGAGAGUGGAAAGUUCACACUGUGACGGUAGCUUACCAGAAAGGGACGGCUAACUACGUGCCAGCAGCCGCGGUAAUACGUAGGUCCCGAGCGUUGUCCGGAUUUAUUGGGCGUAAAGCGAGCGCAGGCGGUUUGAUAAGUCUGAAGUUAAAGGCUGUGGCUCAACCAUAGUUCGCUUUGGAAACUGUCAAACUUGAGUGCAGAAGGGGAGAGUGGAAUUCCAUGUGUAGCGGUGAAAUGCGUAGAUAUAUGGAGGAACACCGGUGGCGAAAGCGGCUCUCUGGUCUGUAACUGACGCUGAGGCUCGAAAGCGUGGGGAGCGAACAGGAUUAGAUACCCUGGUAGUCCACGCCGUAAACGAUGAGUGCUAGGUGUUGGAUCCUUUCCGGGAUUCAGUGCCGCAGCUAACGCAUUAAGCACUCCGCCUGGGGAGUACGACCGCAAGGUUGAAACUCAAAGGAAUUGACGGGGGCCCGCACAAGCGGUGGAGCAUGUGGUUUAAUUCGAAGCAACGCGAAGAACCUUACCAGGUCUUGACAUCCCGAUGCUAUUUCUAGAGAUAGAAAGUUACUUCGGUACAUCGGUGACAGGUGGUGCAUGGUUGUCGUCAGCUCGUGUCGUGAGAUGUUGGGUUAAGUCCCGCAACGAGCGCAACCCCUAUUGUUAGUUGCCAUCAUUCAGUUGGGCACUCUAGCGAGACUGCCGGUAAUAAACCGGAGGAAGGUGGGGAUGACGUCAAAUCAUCAUGCCCCUUAUGACCUGGGCUACACACGUGCUACAAUGGUUGGUACAACGAGUUGCGAGUCGGUGACGGCGAGCUAAUCUCUUAAAGCCAAUCUCAGUUCGGAUUGUAGGCUGCAACUCGCCUACAUGAAGUCGGAAUCGCUAGUAAUCGCGGAUCAGCACGCCGCGGUGAAUACGUUCCCGGGCCUUGUACACACCGCCCGUCACACCACGAGAGUUUGUAACACCCGAAGUCGGUGAGGUAACCUUUGGAGCCAGCCG
This 1419-nucleotide ribosomal RNA is filed under the name Streptococcus thermophilus. RNAcentral describes it as "bacterial SSU rRNA". It matches the Rfam family "Bacterial small subunit ribosomal RNA". Lineage: Bacteria; Bacillati; Bacillota; Bacilli; Lactobacillales; Streptococcaceae. The record is from RNAcentral.